RNAcentral lists this small RNA (1274 nucleotides) under Chlamydomonas asymmetrica. RNAcentral's name for it is "eukaryotic LSU rRNA". The stretch from base 745 to 1274 matches the Rfam family "Eukaryotic large subunit ribosomal RNA", at positions 1 to 545 of the family's 3401-position model. The record is from RNAcentral. Lineage: Eukaryota; Viridiplantae; Chlorophyta; Chlorophyceae; Chlamydomonadales; Chlamydomonadaceae.
GUUCGGAUUGGUGCCGGGUGGAGCAAUCCAGCCGGCGCUGAGAAGUUCAUUAAACCCUCCCACCUAGAGGAAGGAGAAGUCGUAACAAGGUUUCCGUAGGUGAACCUGCGGAAGGAUCAUUGAAUCUAUCACAAUCCACACCAUAUAUGCGAACUGUUGACCGUUUGGCCCUCUGCGAAACUCAGGGGAACCCGAGUUUCGCAGGGCUGUCGGCAGGCGUCACAACCUGACGGCAGAGCCUCGUGGCUCUAUAUAUAUAUUUAUGUAUAUAGAGCCUCAGGGUCGGCUCCUAUCAACCAACCAACUCCUAACCAAACCUAUCUAAAGAAACCGAGGCAUUAGGCUUAGAGCCGAAGCUUCAAAAACCAAGACAACUCUCAACAACGGAUAUCUUGGCUCUCGCAACGAUGAAGAACGCAGCGAAAUGCGAUACGUAGUGUGAAUUGCAGAAAUACGUGAACCAUCGAAUCUUUGAACGCAUAUUGCGCUCGAGGCUUCGGCCAAGAGCAUGUCUGCCUCAGCGUCGCUUUACCCCCUCACCCAAUCUCUCUCUCUCCGAGUGCGAUUGCGCGUGGACCUGGCUUUCGCAAUGCCUUUAGUGGCGUUGCGUUUGCUGAAGCGCAGAGGUUGAUGCAUGGACCCGCUUACGGGCCUCAGCUGGGUAGGCAAUUCGUUGCUAAUGCUUUAGCUGUUGGCUUGGGACCGUGCUGUCAGCCCGAACCAGGAAACUUUUACUUUCAAUUUCGACCUGAGCUCAGGCAAGAACACCCGCUGAACUUAAGCAUAUCAAUAAGCGGAGGAAAAGAACUAACCAGGAUAGCCCUAGUAACGGCGAGUGAAGCGGCUAUAGCCCAACUUGAAAAUCUCCCUCUGGAGAAUUGUAGUCUAUAGAAAGUGCCCUCUGCGUCGGACGGAGCUCAAGUCCACUGGAAAGUGGCGUCAGAGAGGGUGAGAACCCCGUCGGCUCCUGUUUCGGCGCUCCACGAGGUACUUUCCACGAGUCGGGUUGUUUGGGAAUGCAGCCCUAAUUUGGUGGUAAAUCCCAUCUAAGGCUAAAUACUGGCGAGAGACCGAUAGCGAACAAGUACCGUGAGGGAAAGAUGAAAAGAACUUUGAAAAGAGAGUCAAAAAGUGCUUGAAAUUGUUGAGGGGGAAGCCAUUGGAUCGCGUGUGUGCGCCCAGGCUCAAGCGGUUCUAACGAGCCGUUGAAUGUGCUGGGUGCUGGUCAGAUCGGGUUGCUUUGGCGGGACAACCGUCGGGAACGUAGGUAGCCC